UGGGGGAUAUUGCACAAUGGGCGAAAGCCUGAUGCAGCGACGCCGCGUGGGGGAUGAAGGCCUUCGUGUUGUAAACUUCUUUUGCUCUGAACAAGGCAUGCCUUUGGGGUGUGUUGAGUGUAGGGGUUGAUUAGCGCCGGCUAACUACGUGCCAGCAGCCGCGGUAAUACGUAGGGCGCGAGCGUUGUCCGGAAUUAUUGGGCGUAAAGGGCUUGUAGGUGGCUGGUUGCGUCUGUCGUGAAAGCUCAUGGCUUAACUGUGGGUUUGCGGGGGGUACGGGCUGGAUUGAGUGCAGUAGGGGAGGAUGGAAUUCCUGGUGUAGAGGUGGAAUGCGCAGAUAUCAGGAGGAAUACCGGUGGCGAAGGCGGGUCUCUGGGCUGUUACUGACGCUGAGGAGCGAAAGCGUGGGGAGCGAACAGG
Molecule: ribosomal RNA, 420 nt
Filed under: Fusobacteriota bacterium
Lineage: Bacteria; Fusobacteriati; Fusobacteriota
Description: Fusobacteria bacterium partial 16S ribosomal RNA
Rfam family: Bacterial small subunit ribosomal RNA
Source: RNAcentral